RNAcentral lists this non-coding RNA (81 nucleotides) under Jeotgalicoccus aerolatus. RNAcentral describes it as "TPP riboswitch (THI element)". It matches the Rfam family "TPP riboswitch aptamer (THI element)", at positions 6 to 97 of the family's 105-position model. Rfam says of the family: Vitamin B(1) in its active form thiamin pyrophosphate (TPP) is an essential coenzyme that is synthesised by coupling of pyrimidine and thiazole moieties in bacteria. The previously detected thiamin-regulatory element, thi box was extended, resulting in a new, highly conserved RNA secondary structure, the THI element, which is widely distributed in eubacteria and also occurs in some archaea. Lineage: Bacteria; Bacillati; Bacillota; Bacilli; Caryophanales; Staphylococcaceae. The record is from RNAcentral.
ACCACUGGAGGUGCCCGGAAACGGGCUGAGACAUACUCUUAAUACCUGAUCUGGAUUAUGCCAGCGUAGGGAAGUGGCAUA